This 429-nucleotide ribosomal RNA is filed under the name uncultured bacterium. RNAcentral's name for it is "bacterial SSU rRNA". It matches the Rfam family "Bacterial small subunit ribosomal RNA", at positions 355 to 775 of the family's 1533-position model. The record is from RNAcentral.
UGGGGAAUACUGCGCAAUGGGGGAAACCCUGACGCAGCGACGCCGCGUGAGCGAUGAAGGCCUUAGGGUUGUAAAGCUCUGUUUUAAGGGACGAAUGUUACGGGGAGUAAUAUGCCCUGUAAAUGACGGUACCUUAAGAGGAAGCCCCGGCUAACUACGUGCCAGCAGCCGCGGUAAGACGUAGGGGGCGAGCGUUGUCCGGAAUUACUGGGCGUAAAGAGCACGUAGGCGGGACUUUAAGUCAGGUGUGAAAGACCGGGGCUCAACCUCGGGGUGGCACUAGAAACUGGGGUUCUUGAGGGCAGGAGAGGAAAGUAGAAUUCCUGGUGUAGCGGUGAAAUGCGUAGAAAUCAGGAGGAAUACCAGUGGCGAAGGCGACUUUCUGGACUGACCCUGACGCUGAGGUGCGAAAGCGUGGUUAGCAAACAG